This 453-nucleotide long non-coding RNA is filed under the name Lathyrus oleraceus (garden pea). RNAcentral describes it as "Pisum sativum (pea) long non-coding RNA (PSAT_LNC000251)". Lineage: Eukaryota; Viridiplantae; Streptophyta; Magnoliopsida; Fabales; Fabaceae. The record is from RNAcentral.
AUAUAUAUAUAUAUAUAUAUAUAUAUAUAUUAAUGUAAAAAAUUAUAAUAUUUAUAAAUUAAUAAUUUAAGAAUACAUAUCACAGAUUUUAUUAAACUUAAUUACUACUUCACACAUCGACAAAUUUUAUGUAUGCACUUCGGAACUAAAGGAAAUUUACAGCUUGAUUUAGAACAUUCUUUAUCAUCCGUGCACACAAGCAUAUCUGUUAUGUUAAAUAAAAAAAGGAAUGUUAAUAAUGAAGAAAAUAUUUAAAGAAAAAAAGACAGCAAAUAAACUUACAUAGGGCUUCUUCGGUUACAAUAGUAAAUGUCAAAAGAAAAAAAAUAAUAAUGUAAACAAACUUAAGAAUUUGAGUCAUAUUUUUCUCGUUCUCUUGCAAAAAUAAAAACUAUGUCAUCAAUUAUAGUGUAAAAAUAUUCAAUCUUUAAAUUAAAAUAAUUGUUAAAUGUC